Molecule: non-coding RNA, 178 nt
Filed under: Kaistella chaponensis
Lineage: Bacteria; Pseudomonadati; Bacteroidota; Flavobacteriia; Flavobacteriales; Weeksellaceae
Source: RNAcentral
UUCCUACAAGAUAAUCCAUUACCUUUGCAUUGCUUUUAGAAAAGGGAAUUGUGUGCAAAUCACAAACUGUCCCCGCAACUGUAAAUCACCACCAUUGAAACUGCAAUACAACCACUGAGAAAUCGGGAAGGUGCAGUUUUGUGAAAGUCAGGAGACCUUACUGAAAGUAUUAACAUAU